UCUGGUUAUAAAAUGCAGUCAAUCACAUAAGUUAUAACAGAAACAUACAAAAUUGUAUAACAAAAUAGCUGUUCUAGUUACAAAAAUGGAGAUGUUUACAUAGGUUAUAAUAGUCUGGGCUUG
This is a long non-coding RNA of Octodon degus (degu), 123 nucleotides long. RefSeq lists it as uncharacterized. The transcript is spliced from 3 exons. The record is from RefSeq and is a predicted model, not a curated record. NCBI's taxonomy places the organism in Eukaryota, Metazoa, Chordata, Mammalia, Rodentia, Octodontidae.